Molecule: ribosomal RNA, 146 nt
Filed under: Oidiodendron tenuissimum
Lineage: Eukaryota; Fungi; Ascomycota; Leotiomycetes; Myxotrichaceae
Description: partial large subunit ribosomal RNA
Rfam family: Eukaryotic large subunit ribosomal RNA
Source: RNAcentral
GGCAACAGCUCAAAUUUGAAAUCUGGCCCCCUCGGGGCCCGAGUUGUAAUUUGGAGAAGAUGCUUCGGGUGUGGCCCCGGUCUAAGUUCCUUGGAACAGGACGUCACAGAGGGUGAGAAUCCCGUACGUGCCCGGUGGCCGUGCCC